ACAACAGAAGAGCACUGGUACAUCUCAAUAAGCAGGAUGGCUGACUUUGUCAGGACUCUGGGUUUCACUCGGUUACGUUCACCAACCAAAUCAGACAUCGCUCCGCAAAACAGCUUCACAGGAAGUGUCAGAGAGAGAGCUGAUUGGAUGAGAUUCCUGGAUGACUCCAGUGAGAGGCAGUGAUGGGCUGACCUUGUCUAUGACCGACGCCCCUUAAUCAGCAUCCUUUCCCCAAAGGGUUAGCAGUAAAGACACCCCCCACCCACACACACCCACACAGUAAAGACACCAACCUGUUAGCACGCGCACGCACGCACGCACGCACGCACGCACGCACGCACGCACGCACGCACGCACACACGCACGCACGCACACACACACACACACACACAGUAAAGACACCAACCUGUUAGCACACGCGCACACACACACACACAAAGUAAAGACACCAACCUGUUAGCACACACACAAACACAGUAAAGACACCAACCUGUUAGCACACGCCAGCUGAUGAACAAACUACUUCAUCACAAUGAAGAGGGUACAGUGAUGAUACAGUCAGAGGUCAUGGGUCACAGUGAUGAUACAGUCAGAGGUCAUAGGUCACAGUGAUGAUACAGUCAUGGGUCACAGUGAUGAUACAGUCAGAGGUCACAGUGAUGAUACAGUCAGAGGUCAUGGGUCACAGUGAUUGUGCUUUUUAUUCACCAGUCUGGCUCUGACUGUGUUUGGGAGAGAGUAUGAGACACAUGUGCGUGUGUGUGUGUGUCAGGGAGAGAGAGAGAGAGAGAGUAUGAGUCGCAAGCGUGUGUGUGUGUGUGUGUCAGGGAGAGAGAGAGAGAGAGUAUGAGUCGCAAGCGUGUGUGUGUCAGGGAGAGGGAAAGAGUAUGAGAUAAGAUGUGGGUGUGUGAGAGAGUGCUUAUGAGACGCACGUGAGACAUAAUGUGUGUGAGAGAAAGUGAGACCUCUGUGUGUGAGAGAAAGUGUGUGUGUGAGAGAGGGUGAGACGUGCGUGUGUGUGUGAGAGAGAGUGAGAAGUGUGUGUGAGAGAGAGUGAGACAGGUGUGUGUGUGUGUGUGUGAGAGUGAGAUGUGUGUGUGUGUCAGAGAGUGAGACAGGUGUGUGUGAGAGAGAGUGAGACGGAUGUGUGUGUGUGUGUGUGUGAGAGAGAGAGAGUGAGAUGUGUUGUGUGUCAGAGAGUGAGACAGGUGUGUGUGUGUGUGAGAGAGAGAGUGAGACGGGUGUGAGAGAGAGAAGUCCACCUUUCGUUUGGCCAUUUUUGGGGGGAGAGAGACAGGCCACAAGCUAAACUUUGACUUCAGGUGAUGAGGCUGCAGACAGUGGGGCAAGGGCUCACGCUUGCGGGCCUAAAUUGACACAAGCUGUGUCUACUUGUGCACUUCAAACACUGACUUUCAGUGCUUAGGGCGUUCACACUGACAGAAUCAGCAGAAUGCAGGGCACUGAAAGUACCCGGAUGGCGCACUGCAAACGGUAAAAAACUGCAGUGUGAAACGAUGUACACUACUCGCCUUAAACGGGCGCCAUCUUGGCUACGUAGCGGAAGAGGAGGAGCCCUUUCGGCAGCUUUUCAUUUCUAAAAUACUGGCAGACGAGAUGGCUGACAAGACGGUGGCAAGACCUCAAGCUGAUGUAAAUGUAAGUAUCAGCGGUAAUUAAACAUUUUACUACCAACGGGGUGGUAGUGCAUUGUGGGACUUGCAUUAUUAGUGUUGAGUUUGACACAUGUGCUCUAACCUGUUAACAUAAGUGCCGAAAUGUAAUCACCAGGCAACGCAGCCGCCACCAACACGCAACGUUGGCAGUGUGAAACCAGGCUAAAUUGGUGAUUGGUGAAACGAGGAAUUGGAUACGCUCGCAGGUUAGGGUAAGGGAAGUGGUUAGGCUGGGAGAGCCACUCAAGAUUACAACCUGGGAUUGGGAUAGGGGAAUAACUGGGAUACGAACCCUGGUCACCUUAGGUACCGAAAGAGAACGGACUAAAGCAAGUGAGCGAGAGCAGAAGAGCAAACCUGUCUGGGCGAGACACCUCCAAAAAGCCAGUGUGAGAGUUUAUCUCAUACACACACCACAGCCUCCCCCCCACGGUGAGGCCAGAGAGUGACAGUGUUUGCGACAACCAUGCCUAAAUCCAUGUACAC
This is a long non-coding RNA of Clupea harengus (Atlantic herring), 2162 nucleotides long. Lineage: Eukaryota; Metazoa; Chordata; Actinopteri; Clupeiformes; Clupeidae. The record is from Ensembl.